Molecule: long non-coding RNA, 306 nt
Organism: Drosophila yakuba
Lineage: Eukaryota; Metazoa; Arthropoda; Insecta; Diptera; Drosophilidae
Exons: 2
Source: RefSeq, a predicted model, not a curated record
CCAUACGUUUUGGCCAAUUCAUGGCGCACUCCCCGCUUGUUUCUCUUUACGCAUCAUUAGCAGCCGCCUGGCAGAUCACCAUGUCGCGCGUGGGGAAGGGAGGAUCGAAAUCAAAUGAUUAUUUUGUGCGAGUCGGUUUAUGCGGUAAAGCGAUACGAUUGCAUGAUGACAUGACAUCGCAAUAACCAAAAACCUGCCACCGGAAAAUUGACAGCACCAGCACGCCAUCCGCCAACCAACGUGGAUGGGGGAAAUUUGAGUAUGAGCUAAUGGAAAUAAAUAAUAACCGCAUGGAGUUGAGUUGUA